UGGAAGUAAAAAGUCGUAACAAGGUUUCCGUAGGUGAACCUGCGGAAGGAUCAUUACCGAGUGCGGGCCCUCUGGGUCCAACCUCCCACCCGUGUUUAUUGUACCUUGUUGCUUCGGCGGGCCCGCCGUCUUCGGACGGCCGCCGGGGAGGCCUCCGCGCCCCCGGGCCCGCGCCCGCCGAAGACCACAACAUGAACUCUGUUCUGAAGUUUUGCAGUCUGAGUUGAUUAUCAUAAUCAGUUAAAACUUUCAACAACGGAUCUCUUGGUUCCGGCAUCGAUGAAGAACGCAGCGAAAUGCGAUAACUAAUGUGAAUUGCAGAAUUCAGUGAAUCAUCGAGUCUUUGAACGCACAUUGCGCCCCCUGGUAUUCCGGGGGGCAUGCCUGUCCGAGCGUCAUUGCUGCCCUCAAGCACGGCUUGUGUGUUGGGCCCCCGUCCCCGCCUCACCGCGGGGACGGGCCCGAAAGGCAGCGGCGGCACCGCGUCCGGUCCUCGAGCGUAUGGGGCUUUGUCACCCGCUCUUGUAGGACCGGCCGGCGCCUGUCGACACCAACCCCAAUUUUUCUAAGGUUGACCUCGGAUCAGGUAGGGAUACCCGCUGAACUUAAGCAUAUCAAUAAAGCGGAGG
Molecule: unclassified non-coding RNA, 629 nt
Filed under: Aspergillus giganteus
Lineage: Eukaryota; Fungi; Ascomycota; Eurotiomycetes; Eurotiales; Aspergillaceae
Description: sequence contains 18S rRNA gene, ITS1, 5.8S rRNA gene, ITS2, 28S rRNA gene
Rfam family: 5.8S ribosomal RNA (bases 245-398)
Source: RNAcentral